GCUAACUCCGUGCCAGCAGCCGCGGUAAUACGGAGGUUCCAAGCGUUGUUCGGAAUUACUGGGCGUAAAGAGGACGCAGGCGGAUAUGUCAGUCUAAAGUGGAAAUCCAGGGCUCAACCUUGGACUUGCUUUGGAUACUGCAUAUCUUGAGUACGUGAGAGGAAAGCGGAAUUCAGGGUGUAGCGGUGAAAUGCUUAGAUAUCCUGAGGAACACCAAUGGCGAAAGCAGCUUUCUGGCACGAAACUGACGCUGAGGUCCGAAAGCGUGGGGAGCGAACGGGAUUAGAUACCCGGGUAGUC
Molecule: ribosomal RNA, 300 nt
Filed under: uncultured bacterium
Lineage: Bacteria
Description: bacterial SSU rRNA
Rfam family: Bacterial small subunit ribosomal RNA
Source: RNAcentral